GAGUUUGAUCCUGGCUCAGGAUGAACGCUAGCGGCAGGCUUAACACAUGCAAGUCGAGGGGUAACAUUGUAGCUUGCUACAGAUGACGACCGGCGCACGGGUGCGUAACGCGUAUAGAACCUACCUUUUACUGGAGAAUAGCCUUUAGAAAUGAAGAUUAAUGCUCCAUAGUAUUGCGACUCGGCAUCGGGUUGUAAUUAAAGAUUUAUUGGUAAAAGAUGGCUAUGCGUCCUAUUAGUUAGAUGGUAAGGUAACGGCUUACCAUGACAUCGAUAGGUAGGGGUCCUGAGAGGGAGAUCCCCCACACUGGUACUGAGACACGGACCAGACUCCUACGGGAGGCAGCAGUGAGGAAUAUUGGGCAAUGGAGGCAACUCUGACCCAGCCAUGCCGCGUGCAGGAAGACGGCCCUAUGGGUUGUAAACUGCUUUUAUACAGGAAGAAACACUCCCUCGUGAGGGAGCUUGACGGUACUGUAAGAAUAAGGACCGGCUAACUCCGUGCCAGCAGCCGCGGUAAUACGGAGGGUGCAAGCGUUAUCCGGAAUCAUUGGGUUUAAAGGGUCCGCAGGCGGUCAAUUAAGUCAGAGGUGAAAUCCCAUAGCUUAACUAUGGAACUGCCUUUGAUACUGGUUGACUUGAGUCAUAUGGAAGUAGAUAGAAUGUGUAGUGUAGCGGUGAAAUGCAUAGAUAUUACACAGAAUACCGAUUGCGAAGGCAGUCUACUACGUAUGUACUGACGCUCAUGGACGAAAGCGUGGGGAGCGAACAGGAUUAGAUACCCUGGUAGUCCACGCCGUAAACGAUGGACACUAGUUGUUGGGAUUAAUCUCAGUGACUAAGCGAAAGUGAUAAGUGUCCCACCUGGGGAGUACGGUCGCAAGAUUGAAACUCAAAGGAAUUGACGGGGGCCCGCACAAGCGGUGGAGCAUGUGGUUUAAUUCGAUGAUACGCGAGGAACCUUACCAGGGCUUAAAUGUGGUCUGACAGCUUUAGAGAUAGAGUUUUCUUCGGACAGAUCACAAGGUGCUGCAUGGUUGUCGUCAGCUCGUGCCGUGAGGUGUCAGGUUAAGUCCUAUAACGAGCGCAACCCCUACCGUUAGUUGCUAACAGGUCAUGCUGAGGACUCUAACGGGACUGCCUACGCAAGUAGAGAGGAAGGUGGGGAUGACGUCAAAUCAUCACGGCCCUUACGUCCUGGGCUACACACGUGCUACAAUGGUAUGGACAAUGAGCAGCCACUAUGCAAAUAGGAGCGAAUCUAUAAACCAUAUCACAGUUCGGAUCGGAGUCUGCAACUCGACUCCGGGAAGCUGGAAUCGCUAGUAAUCGGAUAUCAGCCAUGAUCCGGUGAAUACGUUCCCGGGCCUUGUACACACCGCCCGUC
This 1386-nucleotide ribosomal RNA is filed under the name uncultured prokaryote. Its description in RNAcentral is "partial 16S ribosomal RNA". It matches the Rfam family "Bacterial small subunit ribosomal RNA". The record is from RNAcentral.